AAAUACCUUAGAGGAAAUCUCAAAUAUUACUGCUGCGUCCCCAUACCUCCCAACCUCAACCCCAACCCAACCCCAACCCCAAACCCAAGGCAAACCCACAACCCUCUCGCACAAAAAUCCACUCCUGUCUCUUGUCUCUUUCUCUCUCCAACCGCCUCAAUUUCUCUCUCUCUCUAUACGAUUCCACAUUCGCUGUAUAUCUCUCUAUUUUUCUCUCCGACUCGUAACAAUUCUGCAAUUCCUCCGAUGCCCUAGCCCCUCCGGCGCCGGUGACACACCUCCGGCGGGCCUCCGGCGAGGACGGCUUCAAAGUCUUUGGGCUUAGGAUUUAUCUAGGUGUUUUUUUUGUUGGUGUGGAAAAAAUCCCGCAAUUCGAUUCGAUCGUGAGGAGGGCCGGAGGCGCUCUUGAAUUUAGGGCUUUUGCGGCUCCCGCGAGCGCCAUGGCUCCGCCGCGUAGACGCGUAGCGAACAGCAAGGCUAAGGACAAGAGCCAGUUGAGUCUUGGUGAUCUUGUGCUCGCCAAGGUCAAGGGCUUCCCUGCUUGGCCUGCCAAGAUCAGCAGACCUGAAGACUGGAAGCAGUCACCUGAUCCUAAAAAGUACUUCGUUGAGUUCUUUGGAACACAAGAAAUAGGUUUUGUUGCCCCUGCGGAUAUUCAGUCAUUUACUAAUGAGGUCAAGAGUAAAUUGUCUGCUCGGUGUCAGGGCAAAACAGUUAAAUGCUUUGCUCAAGCUGUGAAGGAAAUCUGCGUGGCAUUUGAUGAGUUACAAAAGAAGAAAUUAAGUGGUUUUGGAGAUGAUCUUGAUAGAUCAGAUGUUGGGUGUGAGGCUCCCUCUGUUGAUGGGGUAGAGGAUGAUGGAGUAGAGGUUGACUUAAAGGUUGAUACUGGUAACUCGACUUACAAUGGAGAAAUAAUGAAUGAAGCUAUAAGUGAUUCUGGCUCGAAGUUGGAGCGCUGCUCAAAGAGACGAGGUGGAACUGAAAGUCAAGAUGUAAAGCCUCCUGUCUCCUCUCGUGCAAAUGAUAGUUUAUCUCUAAUUCUGCCUCCUGAGAAAAAUAAUAGAAUAUUUGACGGUGCAAAACCAAAGGAAGAGGUAUUAAUGACAUCCAGUCCCGAUAAUUCUUCUUAUCUAAGAGAAGUAACUGCUGGUAAAAGUGUAGAAGAUGUUUGCACUAAGACUCAUGGUGAGGAAAAGAAGUUGUUAGCAAAUGGUCACAAGUCGAAGAAGAUAGGUGCUCUGUCAAAGAAGAAAUCUGAGGGUGCAUUAGAAGUGCACAAAAUGAGUAUCUCUGCUGUAGCAUCGUUGAAGGAUGAAAUUGAUGGUCGUUCUAUUGAUCCCCCUGAAGCUACUGAGCGAUUGAAAGAUGGGAGGGCAUGCAAAAUUGACUCUGGCAGCAGCACGCGUGAAUUUUCUUCUAACCCGCUUAAAGCAGAAUCUGGUACCAAUUCUGGAAGAAAAUCAAAAGAUUUGCUAAACACUAAAAAACGUGUCAAGGUUGCUGAUAAUAUGCAGGACUCUGGUGUUGAUCCUGAUGAGCUGGCCAAGGGAAAACCUUCUGGAAAGGAAAAGAGGGCCCAACAUGGACAUGGAAAGCCUGGAGCAAAUGAUCUUUUACAUCCAGCGAAAAAAUCAAACCGUGUAGAUAUGGGGGACGAUGCCACUCAUGGAUCUCAUGCUAGAAGAAUAAAGAGUGUGUCUCCUAGACCUAAUGUUGUGGACAAAAAGGCAUUGAAAAAGCCUGAGUUUAAAGGGUCAACAUCAUGCGUGAAAGCAGAAAGUAAUCUUGCUUCAAGAGCCCAAGCUGGUAUUGUUGGAUCCAAUGUUUCUGGUGAUGAGGCUGUACUACCUGUAACAAAGCGCAGACGCCGAGCAAUGGAGGCUAUGUCGGACUCUGAUACUCUAACUACCGAUGAUAAAACAGAAAGAAAACCUCUUUUAGUGAAGAAUGAUGUGUCAUGUUCUAAUAAUUUUGGGGUUUCAGGAAGUCAACUGCACAAAAAACGGAGAGCUGUUUGCCUUUCUGAUGACGAAGAUGAACCCAAAACUCCAGUUCAUGGUGGAUCUGCCAGAAAUGUUAGUGCAUCUGCAUUUGUUUCAGAUGCUACCAAGAGCAGUGAUGCACAUAAUGAUAGUUGUAAGAAUGCUCAGCAGGUUGGAGUUUCUAUUGGAUUUGAGGAUGUCCAUUUAAAAGAAUCUUCCUCUGAAUUACGCAAUGAUUCUGUGUCACCGAGCGAAUGGCAAACUGAUGAGAAGAGGCCUGAAAAGGCAAUAGCUGCUCAUCUUUCCCAUUGUCCAGGGAAAGUAUACUCUGAGCAGUUGUCAGCCAAGGAGCAAUUCUUGUCCAAGGAGCAGUUGUCAUCCAAGGAGGCAAAAUCAGUGUUGAUUUCCCCUAGAAAGUCUCCUCAGUCAGGUCCCACUGAACCAGUGGCAGAACAGCAUAAGGUGGCCAAACCUCUGGUUAACGUUUGUGGUACUGGUCCUCAGAAGAAGGUUGAGGUUGGGUCUGCGAAGGCUUCGGUUGUUGUUUCUAAUAGCAUUAACUCUUCUCAGAAUCAAGCAACUAUUAAAAGAAACAGGCCUUCUUCAGGUGAAGGAUCCAAAUCCACUCCUAAAUCAAUCUCAAGGAUUGGUGAAUCUACUGUUUUGAUUGAGAGUUCAGUCGAGUAUAAUUCGUUGCCCAGUGAAAGAGUUGAAGCUGGUAGGGAAGAGAAAAGUAGUCUUUUGAUUGACUCUAAGACGCCAGAAUCUGUUAUGUCCAUGAAGCAUCUUAUUGCCGCAGCACAGGCAAAAAGGAGACAGGCUCACUCUCAAAAUUUCUCUCUUGGACUUUUUAAUUCCUCUUUUGUAUCUGCCUCUGAAGUCCAUGGAAGGAGCCCCAGUCCACCUGCAGUGCAGUCUCUUUUGACAGGUGCUAGCAAUGUGAUGCUGGCAGAUAUGCAAGAAUUUAAUCAUCACAUAAUUUUGGCUUCUCCAUCAAAUCAUGGUCACCAAUCUGCGUCGAGAAGUCAACUUGAUAUUGAAGAAGUUGAGGAGAGAAGAGUUAGUUCAGGGCAUAGGACUGCUGGAGGCUCUCUGAGUGGUGGUACUGAAGCAGCUGUGGCUCGUGAUGCUUUUGAAGGAAUGAUAGAGACUUUGUCAAGGACUAAAGAAAGUAUUGGACGUGCAACUCGUCUUGCUAUUGACUGUGCAAAGUAUGGCAUUGCCAAUGAGGUUGUGGAACUUCUUAUACGAAAGUUGGAAACUGAGCCUAGUUUUCAUCGUAAAGUUGACCUCUUCUUUCUUGUUGAUUCCAUUACCCAAUGCUCGCAUAGUCAGAAAGGCAUUGCUGGAGCUUCGUACAUUCCCACAGUUCAAGCAGCAUUGCCACGUCUUCUUGGUUCUGCUGCUCCACCUGGAGCUGUUGCUCGUGAAAAUCGUCGUCAGUGUCUAAAGGUUUUGCGGUUGUGGCUUGAGAGGAAAAUCUUACCUGAAUCUGUUCUUCGGCCUUUCAUGGAUGACAUUGGGGUUUCAAACGAUGAUACAGUUACUGGUCUUUCGCUUAGACGUCCAUCACGAGCAGAGCGAGCUGUAGAUGAUCCGUUGAGAGAAAUGGAAGGCAUGCUUGUUGAUGAAUAUGGCAGUAAUGCUACAUUUCAGCUGCCUGGUUUUUUAUCUUCUCAUGUAUUUGAAGAUGAGGAGGAAGAUUUUCCAAGCAGUUCAUUUAAGGAAGCUGGUGAUGCACCAGCAGGGGAUAUAACCCUUGCAUUGGGGGAGUCAGAAACAAGUACUGUUCCUCCAAAUGACAGGCGUCACUGCAUCUUGGAGGAUGUGGAUGGGGAGCUCGAAAUGGAAGAUGUUUCUGGACACAUGAGGGAUGAAAGACCAUUGUGUAUAAAUGGUUCUUUUGAAAUGGAUGCACAUCGGAGUUCAGAUAGGACCUUGGAAUCUGCUCCCAACGAUUCCCCUGAGCUGCCCCCACUACCAGAGGGUUCUCCACCAUUACCUCUUGAUUCCCCCCCUCCUCCACCGCCUUUGCCUCCUUCACCUCCACCACCUCCACCACCACCCCCAUUAUCUCCAUCACCACCACCGCCUCCACCACCUCCCCCGUCACAGCCACCACCUCCCCCAUCACAGCUAGCUCCUCCUCCUUUACCACCCUCUGGCCCUCCGCCAUCGAUGGUCCCCCAAGCCUCUUUACCAACUCAGCCUUCAUUGAUCUCCCAGCCAUUUUUACCACAUCAAUCAUCAGUACAGUCUUCGCCACAGUUGGCAUAUCAACCACCUGUACCUCAUGAAUAUUGCAGCGCAGCUAGUGGCAACCAACUUGUCCAAAUGGCUGGUCAUGGUGGUCAUAUUGACAAUGCAACGAAAAGUGAGAUGUUUCCACAGCAGUCAGUGUGUUUUGUUUCAACAGGAGUCCCCAGUUCUCGAGAACCAUCCGGAUUUAAUUCGUCAAGGCAAUUAGAAUACGGACACAAUGAUAUGUAUAUAAACCCACAAAUUUCUCAACCCAACCAACAAUUUCAACAAAGUGAUACCUCCUUUACACAAAGACCUUUACACCCUGCCCCACACCACAACACAUCCAGUCAUUUCUCAUAUACAAAGCCAACAAUUCAGCAACAUCCUCAGCAUCCAUAUCCCCACCCAUAUCCUUUACCACCCAUUCCGGAUGGCCAGAGGCGAUUUGUUUCUGAUGAACAAUGGAGGAUGCCCUCAAGUGAAUUUAAAACAGAUCAUCAACGUGGUGGGUGGAUAAAUGGAGGGAGAACUCCAAAUGGAGAGAGAACUCAUUCGGGACCAACCUAUGGCCAGGAAGGUUAUUUUUGGCCACCCCCCGAGAGGCCACAGGCAAAUAAUAUAGGUUUUCAGCGUCCUGCCCCUAAUAAUCUACCAGCUGGAGCUCCAAUAUCAGGUCAUGGUGUAUCCCAGAUGUUUCCAUGUAGACCAGAUAUUCCAGCCCUUAAUUGUUGGAGACCAGCUUGAUAGCCUCAAUUAAGAAUGUCAGUGAUACUUCGUCUUCUCUGCUUUGGGCGGCAAAACUAGCAAAGAAAAUUACAUAGCGCCUCAGAGUAAAUUCAGUUUACAGACAGUAUCCAACUACCACUUGAAGGCAGUGUAAAGAACUUGUGGAGGCUCUUGGCAGGACUGUAUAUUGUAAUUUUUCCUGACAAAUGUACCCCGGGAACAUUUGCUUCCAAGUGUAGGCCCAUGUUUCUGACAUGUACUGGUGAAGGUGGCUUUUAGUUUAGGAAGAAGCUGAGCAAGAGUUUCUUUGGUGAGGCCGAGGAGAUAGAGAAGAAUGCGAUGGAUGGGGCAGCUUAAUGAAUGUUGUUGCGAGGAUUGUUGUAUCUUUGGGAAUUGGGAUUUACUUUACAACCAAGAUGCAUGAAUUGGUAUCUGGUUACCUGGACAUGUUCUUAGCCCUUUGGAUUCUUGGACUGUAGGCGUGGGCACUGACCCCCUCAGGUCAGUAGUGUGAUAUUACCCGAGUUGACCUAUGCCUUAGCAGUACUGAACUGAACUGACACCAAUGGCUGUCGGUUGUUCAGUUGGUUGGUGAUGAAACCCACGAAAGGAAAAGAAACAGAAAAUCAAUAUUUUUUAUGAAAACCCUACAGAUUUGAACAAAAUGUCAGAUUUUGACUUGAGGGGGGCUGUGGUGGAGCCAAUCCUUUAUCUUCUAGAAAGCACAGAGUGAUAGUGAAGCAAGAACUGAAAAGAAGGGAAAAGAGGAAGCCAAAGCGAGGAAGGUGAUGGGGGACAAAUGGACCAAUGAUGAGCAAAAGAAGCUGGUGGAGUUUCAGAAAUUGGGGCAGGCGAAAGAACUGUGAAGGAGAAGAGAGGUGCAGCUUGUAGAGGAAAGGAUUAGGAUUUCUAAAAGAGGGAUUUUACAUUAAACCUAUAAAGUUUGGAUUGGGUUGGGGUCGUCAAACUAGUACCCUAUACGUGACACCCAACCCGACAGGUGUUAAAACAUUAAAAUUGCUACCAAUCCCUGCCCAACAUUUGUCUGGAAUUGAUCUUGUCAAUUCUGGGUCGGUUGAAUUUUUCAGGUCUGGUCAGGCAUUUGGGAAUUUUUCCAACCCCUAAUGCAUUGUCUCACGGAUCUUCUUGUAUUUUUGUCGAAUUUGGAACUCCUUUUCUUGUUUAUGUUAAUGGUGAUGGUGCACUAAAUUUGUG
Corylus avellana is the source of this 6167-nucleotide RNA transcript. It is a transcript of the gene named Tudor/PWWP/MBT domain-containing protein, with no coding region annotated. The record is from RefSeq and is a predicted model, not a curated record. Lineage: Eukaryota; Viridiplantae; Streptophyta; Magnoliopsida; Fagales; Betulaceae.